AUACUUACCUGGCAGGGGAGACACCAUGAUCACGAUGGUGGUUUUCCCAGGGCGAGGCUCACCCAUUGCACUGCGGGUGUGCUGACUCCUGCGAUUUCCCCAAAUGCGGGAAGCUCGACUGCAUAAAGGA
This 130-nucleotide small nuclear RNA is filed under the name Echinops telfairi (small Madagascar hedgehog). Its description in RNAcentral is "U1 spliceosomal RNA (ENSETEG00000024004.1)". It matches the Rfam family "U1 spliceosomal RNA". Rfam says of the family: U1 is a small nuclear RNA (snRNA) component of the spliceosome (involved in pre-mRNA splicing). Its 5' end forms complementary base pairs with the 5' splice junction, thus defining the 5' donor site of an intron. The record is from RNAcentral. Lineage: Eukaryota; Metazoa; Chordata; Mammalia; Afrosoricida; Tenrecidae.